RNAcentral lists this transfer RNA (84 nucleotides) under Chaetomium globosum CBS 148.51. Its description in RNAcentral is "tRNA-Ser (GCT) (tRNA-Ser-GCT-1-1)". It matches the Rfam family "tRNA". Rfam says of the family: Transfer RNA (tRNA) molecules are approximately 80 nucleotides in length. Their secondary structure includes four short double-helical elements and three loops (D, anti-codon, and T loops). The record is from RNAcentral. Lineage: Eukaryota; Fungi; Ascomycota; Sordariomycetes; Sordariales; Chaetomiaceae.
GUCACUUUGGCGGAGAUCGGUUAACGCGCUGCCCUGCUAAGGCAGUUGCCUUCGGGAGCGUAGGUUCGAAUCCUACAGGUGACG